RNAcentral lists this long non-coding RNA (2539 nucleotides) under Nicotiana benthamiana. RNAcentral's name for it is "long non-coding RNA (NBEN_LNC021944)". Lineage: Eukaryota; Viridiplantae; Streptophyta; Magnoliopsida; Solanales; Solanaceae. The record is from RNAcentral.
UUUAUCAUAAUUUUUGGGUGUGUCAGAGUUUCCAGGAGCUUCAUGAGCUCCACGCAGUGCUUACACCCAAAAUAAGUUGGAGAAUUGAAUUAAAGUGCAGUGUAGAAGGGCUAGCCUUCAAAUGUCUAAGUUCAAAGAGAACUCAAGGUCCCAAGGCAAGGCUCAUAAGAGGGGGCCAGAACAUAGAUUCUAAGAGUAAGUGUAAGUGCAUAAAGGGGAGUUAGGGAAGGCCGUGGUAGGCUGGUGGUCAGGCCCAGCAAUUAGGAGUGUUGGCACACCCCUGAUCAACCUGUUAGCCAAAUUUUAGGAGUUAGGAUCCAUCAAGGAUCAGGUUCAGAACUGGGCAGCAACUUGGAUACUGCCAGGCCAUGAGCCUUAACUUAAACACAUAGAAGGGAGUAAGGGUAUGGGGGAUUCACAACAAACAACAUAUGCAGAGAGACGAACAUGCAUUGUCAACAUUGAACAUAAACAAAAAAGUAAACAAGAAUGUUGAAACUAUAAAGUACACACAUAGGGGUGAAGCUGAAAAGUUAAAUUAGAACAUACCCAUUUCGGGGAAACAAACAAGUAGAACAAUAACCUUAAAAAAAAUCAAGUUGUAGGAAAAUAUUCCAAAGGAUCUAAGAAGAGAGCAGAAUAUUGCAAGAGUAUUCAAAUUGCAUGUGAAUAAUGUGUGCUCGAGUAUUGAACUCUAAGAUGUACUGAAUUGUAAGUGUGUGAGUAAUGUAAGCAGAAGUACUGAACUGAAUAUUCAAGGUGGUCCGAGUGCAGAAGGGUCUUUCCCCUUUUAUAGUGCAUAAAACAAGUAAGAGAAGGUAAGAAAAUAGUUUGCAAUCAGUCACAUAGAAUCCCUCUUCAGCAGGGAAACAAACAAGUAGAACAGUAGCCUAAAAAAAAAUCAAGUUGCAGGCAAACAAUCCAAAGAAUCUCAGAAGAGAGCAGAAUGUUGUAAGAGUAUUCAAAUUGCAAGUGAAUAAUGUGUGCUCGAGUAUUGAACUCUAAGAAGUGCUGAAUUGUAAGUAUGUGAGUAAUGUAAGCUGAAGGUGUUGAACUGAAGAUUCAAGGUUGUCUGAUUGUUGAAGGUGUCGUGCCCCUUUUAUAGUGUAGAAAACAAGUAAGAAAUUAGUUUGCAAUCAAUCACAUAGAAUCCCCCUUCAGUUAAGUGAUUCUGAUUUCAAACGGGUUAGAAGGAAAAUAAGGAAAGAAAUUUGAUUAAAAUCUUUUCCAAAGUAACACAAAAAGGUUAAAUAUAUAGGAGUUUAUUUAAGGAAAAAUCCAGGGGUACACGGUUUGUGACAAAUAAGGAAAUACCAAUCAAACAGUCAGUAGAACCCAAAAUUGCUGGCUUUAUUUGAAUGCACCAAGUCAGGAAAAGAGAGGAAAGGGUUUUACUUAAGGAAAAUCAAUAACAAUCAAUCAUAUCUUACUAAAAGAAUACGAAAUCAAUUAAUAAUUGGAAAGACCUUUCUUGAAAGAAGAACUUCUCAUAUAUAAAGCAUGCAAAUAUCAACAAGAGGGAGUUGUCAUACUGGUUAGAAAAAAUUAUCAUAGAAACAUUCAUAAAAAGGUUUAGGUCCAAUCCAUAUACUCAGAAUGAGUCUGAGAGCUUGGGGUUUCAAAGUAGAACCCUAAUCAAACUCGCCAAAGAAACCCCCCAAAUCCUAGGGUUUCAAAUCGAAUCAGAUAUAGAGAUGAGUAGGCAAGCCAUUGAGACAGACUCAAAAGUCUGUUUAGCCUCAUGAGAAACAAAAUAGAUAUGAUAGCAAGUUUAAAACAACAAAGAAAGAAAGCUGAUUUAAGAGCAUAAAUGAGCGUGUUUUAGAAAAGUCGGAACUUAAGCAAGUUCAGAAGAAAAGUGGUGGUGUAACUUAAGCAGCAGUAGAUGAAACAUUCUUAGCAAAAUUCGAACAAAGUCAAGUAAAUCAAAAAAAAAAAAAAACCCAGCAAGAAACAUAUACGAUAGAAAUUAUGUAGGAAAAGAUAGCAGAGAUAAUCAUACGAGACUGGUCUAGAGGCACCGUAAAAUACAAAGGCAUGGAAGAAUCAUGUAUAAUAGAUAGAAAAAAUAGAAGAGCAAACACAUGUCAGGUAGAGCAGAAAACAUACGAGCAUAAUAUAGAUAAACACAUAUAAAGAAAUAACAUCAGAAUGUUGUUUUUAAAAACCUUCAGAAACCCUUAAUCGAAAACAAACGAUUUUGAAAAGAAAAUCUGGGGAAAACACUUUAAAAGUUGAGUAAAUCACAAGACACAUCAUAGAUCUAAGAAAACAACAGAGAAAAACCUCGAAUAGCUUAAGCUUUCGGAGAAACCCUAGAAAUGAGAAAGGCUUGGAAGAAAGCUCGAUGUUGAGUCGGAGAGGUAGAAUCAGGCCCUCUAAUGCUUGAAUAUGCCGGAGCACAGGCUUGAGAGGCCAUAAAACCAUAGAUUUAGGACGGACUGGAGGUGAACCAUCGAGGUCAGGCCUCAAAGCUUUGAAAAAACAUGGUCUACUAGUGGAGAGGGGUGAGUACAGACCAUACAUGGCCUGAGAAGCC